GAUGAACGCUGGCGGCGUGCCUAAUACAUGCAAGUCGAGCGAACAGAUGAGGAGCUUGCUCCUCUGACGUUAGCGGCGGACGGGUGAGUAAAACGUGGAUAACCUACCUAUAAGACUGGGAUAACUUCGGGAAACCGGAGCUAAUACCGGAUAAUAUAUUGAACCGCAUGGUUCAAUAGUGAAAGACGGUUUUGCUGUCACUUUUAGAUGGAUCCGCGCCGCAUUAGCUAGUUGGUAAGGUAACGGCUUACCAAGGCAACGAUGCGUAGCCGACCUGAGAGGGUGAUCGGCCACACUGGAACUGAGACACGGUCCAGACUCCUAAGGGAGGCAGCAGUAGGGAAUCUUCCGCAAUGGGCGAAAGCCUGACGGAGCAACGCCGCGUGAGUGAUGAAGGUCUUCGGAUCGUAAAACUCUGUUAUUAGGGAAGAACAAAUGUGUAAGUAACUAUGCACGUCUUGACGGUACCUAAUCAGAAAGCCACGGCUAACUACGUG
RNAcentral lists this ribosomal RNA (497 nucleotides) under uncultured bacterium. RNAcentral describes it as "partial 16S ribosomal RNA". It matches the Rfam family "Bacterial small subunit ribosomal RNA", at positions 28 to 507 of the family's 1533-position model. The record is from RNAcentral.